UGGGGAAUUUUGGACAAUGGGCGCAAGCCUGAUCCAGCCAUGCCGCGUGCGGGAAGAAGGCCUUCGGGUUGUAAACCGCUUUUGUCAGGGAAGAAAUCUUCUGAGUUAAUACCUCGGGAGGAUGACGGUACCUGAAGAAUAAGCACCGGCUAACUACGUGUCAGCAGCCGCGGUAAUACGUAGGGUGCAAGCGUUAAUCGGAAUUACUGGGCGUAAAGCGUGCGCAGGCGGUUUUGUAAGACAGAGGUGAAAUCCCCGGGCUCAACCUGGGAACUGCCUUUGUGACUGCAAGGCUUGAGUGCGGCAGAGGGGGGAUGGAAUUCCGCGUGUAGCAGUGAAAUGCGUAGAUAUGCGGAGGAACACCGAUGGCGAAGGCAAUCCCCUGGGCCUGCACUGACGCUCAUGCACGAAAGCGUGGGGAGCAAACAGGAUUAGAUACCCUGGUAGUCCACGCCCUAAACGAUGUCAACUGGUUGUUGGGAAGGUUCCUUCUCAGUAACGUAGCUAACGCGUGAAGUUGACCGCCUGGGGAGUACGGCCGCAAGGUUG
Molecule: ribosomal RNA, 549 nt
Filed under: uncultured bacterium
Lineage: Bacteria
Description: partial 16S ribosomal RNA
Rfam family: Bacterial small subunit ribosomal RNA
Source: RNAcentral